Molecule: ribosomal RNA, 253 nt
Filed under: uncultured bacterium
Lineage: Bacteria
Description: partial 16S ribosomal RNA
Rfam family: Bacterial small subunit ribosomal RNA
Source: RNAcentral
UACGUAGGGUGCAAGCGUUGUCCGGAACUAUUGGGAGUAAAGAGCUUGUAGGCGGUUUGUCGCGUCUGCUGUGAAAUUUCGGGGCUCAACCCCGAACCUGCAGUGGGUACGGGCAGACUAGAGUGUGGUAGGGGAGACUGGAAUUCCUGGUGUAGCGGUGAAAUGCGCAGAUAUCAGGAGGAACACCGAUGGCGAAGGCAGGUCUCUGGGCCGAUACUGACGCUGAGGAGCGAAAGCGUGGGGAGCGAACAGG